AUCCGAUUGAAAGACCCAUGGUUUCUCUGCUGAACACCAUGGGCUGCAGCAGCCUCGGCCAACACGUUCUGGAUUGCCUGCCCGUGACAGAUGGCAGCUGGAAACCAGCAGGGAGAGAAACCGCCUCUGCUCCUGGAUAAUGAGCUCAGAGCCUCUCAGUGGGAGCUGCACUCACCUCUCGGCCACUCUAUAAUCCAGCAGAGGACAGAGGAAACUAACACAGGACCCAAAGAAAGUUGCGCUGAGCACAGGGAAUUCAAACUAAGGCAUGAGGAUUGAGGAAGUAUUGCUGUUACGGUGGACAAGUCUCACCCAGUGACAGGCGGCCACUGCACCAGGUCACAGAGGAGAUGCAGCUUCUGCUGAGAUGCCACCCAUGGGAACACCUGACUUCCCCCUCCCACGCCCUCCUCCUCCCUUCCCGCCUCCCACAAGCCACAGCAGGGGCUCCCUGAGCUGCCACCCACUGGGGCUUCUUGCCAUCCCUGUCAGGUUCGAGCUCCUCCACUUCCGUGCCCUGGUUCCCUGUGCUAAACUCCCUUUGUUGUGAAUAUCUGGAGUGAUUUUGGUUUCACUGGUGAGCUCCAACCUCCAUGGGGAUCAGGGCCCAGUAGGGUGGGUGUGGGCUGAAUAGCCAGCAAGAGCCUUGAAGUCUGGCAGGAUUGUAGGGUUGGACGAAGAGGGGCAGGGCCUGGGGGGAAAUGAGCAGGGAAUAGUGAAGCAAUUUGAGCAGCGCAGAAGUGGGACUGAGCUAAGGACUUCGCACUUGACCCAACUGGCAACAGGGAGUGAGCAAAGCAGGGUCCCAGGAGGCCACUGACAAUGCUGGACAGGAGCCGUACAUUUGUACACAAUAAAAGGAGCUCCAGAUGCCUCUGCAACUUGGCUUCUGCCCAACUCGUUGUCUUGCCUUGAGUUAGGGGCCUCAGUGAUGAAUGAAGAGGCUUCUGUCCCUUCCAGGCCACCAUAGAAGGAGACACUGGGGGUUUUGAGCCAGCAGGAGAUGUCAUGUGGCUUGAUUUAAAAGGAUACCUCUGGCUACCAUGGGAAGGCCAGAGUGGUAUAGGGGACCAGAUGGAAACUACUUUCGUCCCCUAGGUGGGAGAUGACAGGUGUGAAUCAGGGUGAAAGCAGAACUUCGUGGGGUCCUGUACAAGGCCUGGGACUAUAGGUGACCCAAGACUGACUCAUGACAUUCCUCCAUUGCCCCCCAAUCUCCUUCACUGUCUCUUUGCAGUGAAAAGAUCAGAGCCCCCACUUCUAGGUCAGUGGGACCCCGGGCCUCAGGGAAUGCUGAUGAUGGGCCAUCUCGCUAGAAGCCAGUUUCAGCACACCACCCUCAGGGUGCACCUCCAGCAUCCUCAGGUCUCAGAGGAGCCGACAGCAGACCUGGGAGGUAGAAGGAUGAGGCCCUUUGGCUGGUGAAGGCCAGGCCAUUUCUCACUUGGAACUAGCAUUACAGCCCUGCUCUCCUGAGAUGAGAGGUGGAGACUAGACUCUGGACCAGAUUGAAGACUGGCUGAAACAGGGACGAGGUGAAAGCCCCUCUCCAUAAGACACGUCCACCCACGUGGCCAUUUACCAUCACCAUGGCAACACUUGGAAGUUACCGCCCCUUUCCAUGGCAGCAACCCAGAAGCUACCACCCUCUUUCUAGAAAGUUCUGCAUAACCGGCUCCUUAAUUUGCACGUAAUUAAAAGUGUGUAUAAAUGUGACUGCAGCACUGCCCCGAGCUGCUACACUGGGCACACUGCCUAUGGGGGAGCCCUGCUCAGCAGCGAGCAGAACCUCUGCUGCUGCACACUGCCAUUUCAGUAAAAGCUGCUGUCUAACACCGCCAGUUCAUCCUUGAAUUCUUUCCUGAGCAGAGUCAAAAACCUUCCCAGCCUAAGCCCCAAUUUUAGGGCUCACCUGCCCUGUAUACCAGUGCCCCCUCCUCUACCCCCAAGGCCACUCAUGAGGGAAUUAAAACUGAACCCAAUGCUAAAGCGAUCUGGGUAAUAAAUGUGUUGGGACAUCAAGAAAGCCAUUUGCAAAAAAGAUAAAAUUAAUGCAUUCCUCAUCCCAAGCACAAGAAUAAACCACACAUAGAUCAGGGAACCACAAGUCAUCAUUAAACUAUGGAGUAUUAGAGGUGAUGGGUGAAUUCCUCUACUCUGGGUAAAGAAGACUUUCUAACUGUGAUUGAAAACCAAGAUUGAUAAUUUGAUACAAAAAAACUCAAACAAGAUUUUUUUGCAUGGCAAAAAUACAUCAGCAAAAUCAAAGGACAAAUAGAAAAUUGGGAGAAAAUAUUUGCAACGUAUAUCACAGACAAAAGGCCAAUAUUCUGGCUGGAUGCAGUGGCUCAUGCCUGCAAUCCCAGCACUUUGGGAGGCAGAGGCCAGUGGAUCACGAGGUCAGGAGUUCGAGACUAGCCUGGCCAACGUGGUGAAACCCCAUCUCUACUAAAAAUACAAAAAUUAGUUGGGUGUGGUGAUGCGUGCCUGUAGUCCCAGCUACUCGGGAGGCUGAGGCAGAAGAAUUGCUAGAACCUAGGAGGUGGAGGUUGCAGUGAGCCGAGAUGGCGCCCCUGCACUCCAGCCUGGGCAACAGGGCAAGACUCCAUCUCAAAAAAAAAAAAAAAAAAAAAAAAGCUAGGCUCGGUGGCUCACGCCUGUAAUCCCACACUUUGGGAGACUGAGGUGGGUGGAUGACCUGAAGUCAGGAGUUCGAGACCAGCCUGGCCAACAUGGAGAAACCCCGUCUCUACUAAAAAAUGCAAAA
This 2767-nucleotide long non-coding RNA is filed under the name Homo sapiens (human). RNAcentral's name for it is "HSALNT0269624". Lineage: Eukaryota; Metazoa; Chordata; Mammalia; Primates; Hominidae. The record is from RNAcentral.